Molecule: transfer RNA, 72 nt
Filed under: Ovis aries (sheep)
Lineage: Eukaryota; Metazoa; Chordata; Mammalia; Artiodactyla; Bovidae
Rfam family: tRNA
About the family: Transfer RNA (tRNA) molecules are approximately 80 nucleotides in length. Their secondary structure includes four short double-helical elements and three loops (D, anti-codon, and T loops).
Source: Rfam by way of RNAcentral
UCCCUCAUAGCUCAGUCGGUAAAGAAUCUGCCUGAAAUGCAGGAGACCUGGGUUAAAUUCCUGGAUUGGGAA